AUGGCAAUCAUGACAUGUGUGACAUGUCAUGAUUGCCUUUGAUUGAAUAAAAGGCAAUCAUGACAUGUGUGACAUGUCAUGAUUGCCUU
Pelobates cultripes (western spadefoot toad) is the source of this 89-nucleotide non-coding RNA. Lineage: Eukaryota; Metazoa; Chordata; Amphibia; Anura; Pelobatidae. The record is from the annotation of a GenBank genome assembly.